RNAcentral lists this ribosomal RNA (441 nucleotides) under uncultured bacterium. RNAcentral's name for it is "bacterial SSU rRNA". It matches the Rfam family "Bacterial small subunit ribosomal RNA", at positions 958 to 1400 of the family's 1533-position model. The record is from RNAcentral.
AACGCGAAGAACCUUACCAGGUCUUGACAUCCUUUUGCCUUUCCUAGAGAUAGGAAUUUCCCUUCGGGGACAAAAGUGACAGGUGGUGCAUGGUUGUCGUCAGCUCGUGUCGUGAGAUGUUGGGUUAAGUCCCGCAACGAGCGCAACCCUUGUCCUUAGUUGCCAGCAUUUAGUUGGGCACUCUAAGGAGACUGCCGGUGACAAACCGGAGGAAGGUGGGGAUGACGUCAAAUCAUCAUGCCCCUUAUGACCUGGGCUACACACGUGCUACAAUGGAUGGUACAAAGGGCUGCGAGACCGCGAGGUUUAGCCAAUCCCAUAAAACCAUUCUCAGUUCGGAUUGUAGGCUGCAACUCGCCUACAUGAAGCCGGAAUCGCUAGUAAUCGUGGAUCAGCAUGCCACGGUGAAUACGUUCCCGGGCCUUGUACACACCGUGUCGA